GCGAACGCUGGCGGCAGGCCUAACACAUGCAAGUCGAACGGAUCCUUCGGGAUUAGUGGCGGACGGGUGAGUAACACGUGGGAACGUGCCUUUUGGUUCGGAACAACUCAGGGAAACUUGAGCUAAUACCGAAUGUGCCCUUCGGGGGAAAGAUUUAUCGCCUAAGGAUGAGCCCGCGUAGGAUUAGCUUGUUGGUGAGGUAAAGGCUCACCAAGGCGACGAUCCUUAGCUGGUCUGAGAGGAUGAUCAGCCACACUGGGACUGAGACACGGCCCAGACUCCUACGGGAGGCAGCAGUGGGGAAUAUUGGACAAUGGGCGAAAGCCUGAUCCAGCAAUGCCGCGUGAGUGAUGAAGGCCCUAGGGUUGUAAAGCUCUUUUACCCGGGAAGAUAAUGACUGUACCGGGAGAAUAAGCCCCGGCUAACUCCGU
Molecule: ribosomal RNA, 431 nt
Filed under: uncultured bacterium
Lineage: Bacteria
Description: bacterial SSU rRNA
Rfam family: Bacterial small subunit ribosomal RNA
Source: RNAcentral